Molecule: non-coding RNA, 75 nt
Organism: Potamilus streckersoni
Lineage: Eukaryota; Metazoa; Mollusca; Bivalvia; Unionida; Unionidae
Source: the annotation of a GenBank genome assembly
GCUCCUGUGGCCUAGUGGUUAGAGCGUCCGCCUAGGAGAUGCGGAAGAUCGUGGGUUCGAUCCCCAGUCGAAUCA